Molecule: ribosomal RNA, 492 nt
Filed under: uncultured bacterium
Lineage: Bacteria
Description: partial 16S ribosomal RNA
Rfam family: Bacterial small subunit ribosomal RNA
Source: RNAcentral
AGUGAACGCUGGCGGUAGGCCUAACACAUGCAAGUCGAACGGCAGCACAGUAAGAGCUUGCUCUUACGGGUGGCGAGUGGCGGACGGGUGAGGGAUACAUCGGAAUCUACUUUUUCGUGGGGGAUAACGUAGGGAAACUUACGCUAAUACCGCAUACGACCUACGGGUGAAGGCAGGGGAUCUUCGGACCUUGCGCGAUUGAAUGAGCCGAUGUCGGAUUAGCUAGUUGGCGGGGUAAAGGCCCACCAAGGCGACGAUCCGUAGCUGGUCUGAGAGGAUGAUCAGCCACACUGGAACUGAGACACGGUCCAGACUCCUACGGGAGGCAGCAGUGGGGAAUAUUGGACAAUGGGCGCAAGCCUGAUCCAGCCAUACCGCGUGGGUGAAGAAGGCCUUCGGGUUGCAAAGCCCUUUUGUUGGGAAAGAAAAGCAGCAGGUUAAUACCCCGCUGUUCUGACGGUACCCAAAGAAUAAGCACCGGCUAACUUCGUG